CAGCAGCCGCGGGAAUACGUAGGGUGCAAGCGUUAAUCGGAAUUACUGGGCGUAAAGCGUGCGCAGGCGGUUAUAUAAGACAGAUGUGAAAUCCCCGGGCUCAACCUGGGAACUGCAUUUGUGACUGUAUAGCUAGAGUACGGCAGAGGGGGAUGGAAUUCCGCGUGUAGCAGUGAAAUGCGUAGAUAUGCGGAGGAACACCGAUGGCGAAGGCAAUCCCCUGGGCCUGUACUGACGCUCAUGCACGAAAGCGUGGGGAGCAAACAGGAUUAGAUACCCCGGUAGUCCCUGUCUCUUAUAC
This 301-nucleotide ribosomal RNA is filed under the name uncultured bacterium. Its description in RNAcentral is "partial 16S ribosomal RNA". It matches the Rfam family "Bacterial small subunit ribosomal RNA", at positions 509 to 807 of the family's 1533-position model. The record is from RNAcentral.